RNAcentral lists this ribosomal RNA (506 nucleotides) under uncultured bacterium. RNAcentral's name for it is "partial 16S ribosomal RNA". It matches the Rfam family "Bacterial small subunit ribosomal RNA", at positions 30 to 523 of the family's 1533-position model. The record is from RNAcentral.
AUUGAACGCUGGCGGCAGGCCUAACACAUGCAAGUCGAACGGUAACAGGAAACAGCUUGCUGUUUCGCUGACGAGUGGCGGACGGGUGAGUAAUGUCUGGGAAACUGCCUGAUGGAGGGGGAUAACUACUGGAAACGGUAGCUAAUACCGCAUAACGUCGCAAGACCAAAGAGGGGGACCUUCGGGCCUCUUGCCAUCGGAUGUGCCCAGAUGGGAUUAGCUAGUAGGUGGGGUAACGGCUCACCUAGGCGACGAUCCCUAGCUGGUCUGAGAGGAUGACCAGCCACACUGGAACUGAGACACGGUCCAGACUCCUACGGGAGGCAGCAGUGGGGAAUAUUGCACAAUGGGCGCAAGCCUGAUGCAGCCAUGCCGCGUGUAUGAAGAAGGCCUUCGGGUUGUAAAGUACUUUCAGCGGGGAGGAAGGCCUGAUGGUUAAUAGUCAUCAGGAUUGACGUUACCCACAGAAGAAGCACCGGCUAACUCUGUGCCAGCCGCCGCGGUAA